RNAcentral lists this ribosomal RNA (305 nucleotides) under uncultured bacterium. RNAcentral's name for it is "bacterial SSU rRNA". It matches the Rfam family "Bacterial small subunit ribosomal RNA", at positions 337 to 659 of the family's 1533-position model. The record is from RNAcentral.
UCCUACGGGGCGCAGCAGUGGGGAAUAUUGCACAAUGGGGGAAACCCUGAUGCAGCGACGCCGCGUGGGCGAGGAAGUACCUCGGUAUGUAAAGCCCUAUCAGCAGGGAAGAAACAGGACAGUACCUGACUAAGAAGCCCCGGCUAACUACGUGCCAGCAGCCGCGGUAAUACGGAGGAUGCGAGCGUUAUCCGGAUUUAUUGGGUUUAAAGGGUGCGCAGGCGGCGAGUUAAGUCAGCGGUAAAAUUUCGGGGCUCAACCCCGACGAGCCGUUGAAACUGGCUUGCUAGAGUGGGCGAGAAGUA